This 253-nucleotide ribosomal RNA is filed under the name uncultured bacterium. RNAcentral's name for it is "partial 16S ribosomal RNA". It matches the Rfam family "Bacterial small subunit ribosomal RNA", at positions 524 to 776 of the family's 1533-position model. The record is from RNAcentral.
UACAGAGGGGGCAAGCGUUGUUCGGAAUUACUGGGCGUAAAGGGCGCGUAGGCGGCCUUCUAAGUCGAACGUGAAAUCCCCGGGCUCAACCCGGGAACCGCGUCCGAUACUGGAAGGCUUGAAUCCGGGAGAGGGAUGCGGAAUUCCAGGUGUAGCGGUGAAAUGCGUAGAUAUCUGGAGGAACACCGGUGGCGAAGGCGGCAUCCUGGACCGGCAUUGACGCUGAGGCGCGAAAGCCAGGGGAGCAAACGGG